This 392-nucleotide ribosomal RNA is filed under the name uncultured Alphaproteobacteria bacterium. RNAcentral describes it as "bacterial SSU rRNA". It matches the Rfam family "Bacterial small subunit ribosomal RNA", at positions 9 to 418 of the family's 1533-position model. The record is from RNAcentral. Lineage: Bacteria; Pseudomonadati; Pseudomonadota; Alphaproteobacteria.
GAGUUUGAUCGUGGCUCAGAACGAACGCUGGCGGCAGGCUUAACACAUGCAAGUCGAACGAGCUGGGGCCUUCGGGUCCCGAUGCUAGUGGCGCACGGGUGAGUAACGCGUGGGAACGUACCCUUUAGUACGGAAUAACCAAGGGAAACUUUGGCUAAUACCGUAUACGCCCUUCGGGGAAAGAUUAUCGCUAAAGGAUCGGCCCGCGUCUGAUUAGGUAGUUGGUGAGGUAAUAGGCUCACCAAGCCUACGAUCAGUAGCUGGUCUGAGAGGAUGAUCAGCCACACUGGGACUGAGACACGGCCCAGACUCCUACGGGAGGCAGCAGUGGGGAAUAUUGGACAAUGGGGGAAACCCUGAUCCAGCCAUGCCGCGUGAGUGAAGAAGGCCUU